This 432-nucleotide ribosomal RNA is filed under the name Goeldia sp. CG59. RNAcentral describes it as "partial 16S ribosomal RNA". The record is from RNAcentral. Lineage: Eukaryota; Metazoa; Arthropoda; Arachnida; Araneae; Titanoecidae.
UUCUAAUAGAUUUUAUUAUUAGUAAUAUCUGCUCAAUGAAAUUUUCAAUAGCCGCAUUUGUGCUAAGGUAGCAUAAUCACUUGUCUUUUAAUUUUAGACUAGAAUGAAAGAUUUAACAUUUAAAUCACCUUAUUUAUUAUCAACUUUUAAAUUAUUUUAAAUAUUAAAAAAUAUUUAUACAAUAGAAAGACGACAAGACCCUUUCGAACUUCACUUUAGUUUAACUGGGGCAGUUUAAAAAAUAUUAAUUUUUACUCUUAUAUUUACUCAAUAACCCAAAAAAUUUGAUUAAUUAAGUUACCGAAGGGAUAACAGCGUAAUUAAUUUCUUAAGAUCUUAUAAAAAAAUUAGAUUGCGACCUCGAUGUUGAAUAUAUUCCUAUUUCAUGAAAAAGUAAAAAAAGGAAGUCUGUUCGACUUUUAAAUAUUUACA